This 275-nucleotide long non-coding RNA is filed under the name Malus domestica (apple). RNAcentral's name for it is "long non-coding RNA (MDOM_LNC001841)". The record is from RNAcentral. Lineage: Eukaryota; Viridiplantae; Streptophyta; Magnoliopsida; Rosales; Rosaceae.
GUAAAAAGCUAAAUGUCACCCCGUUCAAGAGGAAAGCUGUGGAAAGUCAAGCACGACCAAUGAUCACUUAUUUAGUUCUAUUCAUUGUCUUUUAUCGUGAUUUUCAAUUUUUCGUUUGCAAUUUUUUUAUAUUUUCUUGUGUUACUUAACUGAAUUAUUUCUUUUCUUUGCAGGAACUUUUGGUUAUUUCCACCCUUGAAGUUGAUUGCAGAAUUUUAGCUUAGGGGUCAUCGCUUGAUUUUACUGCAAAUUAGGGAAGUUUUCAGUCCAAUUGU